RNAcentral lists this ribosomal RNA (253 nucleotides) under uncultured bacterium. RNAcentral's name for it is "partial 16S ribosomal RNA". It matches the Rfam family "Bacterial small subunit ribosomal RNA", at positions 524 to 776 of the family's 1533-position model. The record is from RNAcentral.
UACGGAGGGUGCAAGCGUUAUCCGGAUUCACUGGGUUUAAGGGGUGCGUAGGUGGGCAGUUAAGUCAGUGGUGAAAUCCCCGGGCUCAACCCGGAAACUGCCAUUGAUACUAUCUGUCUUGAAUAUCGUGGAGGUAAGCGGAAUAUGUCAUGUAGCGGUGAAAUGCUUAGAUAUGACAUAGAACACCAAUUGCGAAGGCAGCUUACUACCCGAAUAUUGACACUGAGGCACGAAAGCGUGGGGAUCAAACAGG